UACGUAGGGUGCAAGCGUUAAUCGGAAUUACUGGGCGUAAAGCGUGCGCAGGCGGUGCUGUAAGACAGGCGUGAAAUCCCCGGGCUUAACCUGGGAAUGGCGCUUGUGACUGCAGUGCUGGAGUGCGGCAGAGGGGGAUGGAAUUCCGCGUGUAGCAGUGAAAUGCGUAGAUAUUCGGAGGAACACCAGUGGCGAAGGCGGCCCCCUGGCACAAUACUGACGCUGAGGUGCGAAAGCGUGGGGAGCAAACAGG
Molecule: ribosomal RNA, 253 nt
Filed under: uncultured bacterium
Lineage: Bacteria
Description: partial 16S ribosomal RNA
Rfam family: Bacterial small subunit ribosomal RNA
Source: RNAcentral